AUUGAACGCUGGCGGCAUGCCUUACACAUGCAAGUCGAACGGUAACAGGUCUUCGGAUGCUGACGAGUGGCGAACGGGUGAGUAAUACAUCGGAACGUGCCUAGUAGUGGGGGAUAACUACUCGAAAGAGUGGCUAAUACCGCAUGAGAUCUACGGAUGAAAGCAGGGGAUCGCAAGACCUUGUGCUACUAGAGCGGCCGAUGGCAGAUUAGGUAGUUGGUGGGAUAAAAGCUUACCAAGCCGACGAUCUGUAGCUGGUCUGAGAGGACGAUCAGCCACACUGGGACUGAGACACGGCCCAGACUCCUACGGGAGGCAGCAGUGGGGAAUUUUGGACAAUGGGCGCAAGCCUGAUCCAGCAAUGCCGCGUGCAGGACGAAGGCCUUCGGGUUGUAAACUGCUUUUGUACGGAACGAAAAGCCCCGGGUUAAUACCCUGGGGUCAUGACGGUACCGUAAGAAUAAGCACCGGCUAACCACGUGCCAGCCGCCGCAGUAA
RNAcentral lists this ribosomal RNA (498 nucleotides) under uncultured bacterium. RNAcentral's name for it is "partial 16S ribosomal RNA". It matches the Rfam family "Bacterial small subunit ribosomal RNA", at positions 30 to 523 of the family's 1533-position model. The record is from RNAcentral.